RNAcentral lists this ribosomal RNA (253 nucleotides) under uncultured bacterium. RNAcentral's name for it is "partial 16S ribosomal RNA". It matches the Rfam family "Bacterial small subunit ribosomal RNA", at positions 524 to 776 of the family's 1533-position model. The record is from RNAcentral.
UACGAAGGGGGCUAGCGUUGUUCGGAAUCACUGGGCGUAAAGGGCGCGUAGGCGGCUUUUCAAGUCGGGGGUGAAAGCCUGUGGCUCAACCACAGAAUUGCCUUCGAUACUGUUAGGCUUGAGACCGGAAGAGGUGAGUGGAACUGCGAGUGUAGAGGUGAAAUUCGUAGAUAUUCGCAAGAACACCAGUGGCGAAGGCGACUUACUGGACACAUAUUGACGCUGAGGUGCGAAAGCGUGGGGAGCAAACAGG